UCCCUUGUAGCUCAGUUGGUAAAGAAUCUGCCUGCAGUGCAGAAGAUGCAGGUUUGAUCCCUGGGUGGGGAA
Molecule: transfer RNA, 72 nt
Filed under: Bos taurus (domestic cattle)
Lineage: Eukaryota; Metazoa; Chordata; Mammalia; Artiodactyla; Bovidae
Also listed under: 3 other names
Rfam family: tRNA
About the family: Transfer RNA (tRNA) molecules are approximately 80 nucleotides in length. Their secondary structure includes four short double-helical elements and three loops (D, anti-codon, and T loops).
Source: Rfam by way of RNAcentral